AUCCCCGCCUUCUGUGACGAAGCCAAGUGUGGCUAGUGGUGUGGCAUCUGAGGUUAAAUCAAAGGCUCAACGGGGACUCUUCAAGGACAAUACGCCUGUCUCGGCUACCCCGGUGAUAUCUGAUCCAGUUGACAAUCCUCUUGAUGAUGAAGGAUACGACGGCUUGGCCAGCGGGUCUGUCGCUGAGCAGGAGAGAUCACCACUGCUUGCUGGUUCCACCGAGACAGAUGCCCUGCUAAUACCUGAUCAGGCUUCCGACGCAAAGAA
Long non-coding RNA from Triticum aestivum (bread wheat), 267 nucleotides. RefSeq lists it as uncharacterized. The transcript is spliced from 3 exons. NCBI's taxonomy places the organism in Eukaryota, Viridiplantae, Streptophyta, Magnoliopsida, Poales, Poaceae. The record is from RefSeq and is a predicted model, not a curated record.